AUGGGUGAAAGUAACGAGAAUAUCCAGUUUUCCUGGGGAAAGAAGAGAGCAAAAGGUGGUGCCAAGAUGGAUACACAGUUCUAUGGUUCCUUCACAUUUGACAAUGUGAAGUACUCACUGUAUGACUGUGUGUAUCUUUUUAAAAAUGGUGAAUCUGAACCAUACAUUGGAAAGAUAGUAAAGAUAUGGCAGCAAAAUGAAGCUAAGAAAGUAAAGAUUCUUUGGUUUUUCACCCCGGAUGAGAUCAGAAAUUAUUUAAGAGGCUCCGUGGCGGAGAAUGAGAUAUUUCUUGCUUCUGGUGAUGGCACUGGCCUUGCCGAUAUCAACCCACUGGAAUCUAUUGCUGGUAAAUGCACUGUUGUUUGCAUUUCAAAGGAUGAAAGGAAUCGCCAGCCUACCCCAAAGGAACAAACGGUCGCUGAUUAUAUCUUCUAUAGGUUUUUUGAUGUUGGAAACUGCACACUUUCUGAGCAAGUACCUGAGAAAAUUGCAGGGCUGGAAGUCAACGUGCUGCUUAAUCCUAAAGAUGAGCAAGUUAUAUGUUACCCGGAUCAGGAUGCGCAAGGCAUGGAUCAGAAGGUGGGUGCAGGUCUGGUCGCACCCCUUCCGCAAUCAGCGGCUAAGAUGGAGGAUGAAAUUCCUGUUGCACCCCUUCCGCAAUCAGCUGCUAAGAUGGAGGAUGAAAUUCCUGUUGCUGCAGUUCCCCUUUCCCAGUCAGUGGCCAUUUCUCUUCCCCCAUCAGUCAAAGAGGUGGAUAAAGCUCAGGUUGCUGCUGUUCCUCUUCCCCUAGCAGUUGAGGAGGAUGUUCCCAAACCCACACAAAAAGUUUUCAAACGUACACAGAGUACACAGAAAGUUCUCUCUGAUAAGAUGCCUUCAAAGAAAUUGAAAUUAUCUCAAGAUCUUACAACGAAGAAUAUGCCUUCAAAGAAGUUGAAACUAUCUCAAGAUCUUACAACGCAAAGUAUGGCCCCAGUUCCUGACGUGAAAGUUCGCUCUGUUCCUUUGGCGCAACUACCAACAAGGCAGGCUGACAGAAGCAAAUGGUUCAAACCACAGCCCUGGCAUGAAAAACUAGCACAAGCUGAUAAGGAGGGGAGGCUGGUGUAUAUUCAGAAUCUUGACAUACGGUUUGGAGCUUCUGAAAUAGUGGAACUUAUUCGUGAGGCACUACAACUAUCUUGUACUGCUAAGCCUAUUAACCACCCGACCUACGAUGAUCCUAACAAUGGAAAAGCAUAUGUUGUAUUCAAUUCCAGAAAUAUUGCUGAUGAAGCUGUUAUGAAAAUCAAUUCAGGCUUGGUUGUGGGUGGAAGACCCCUUUACUGCAGCAAAGGGUUACUUAAGGUCCCAAAACCAGCUUCAGGAGCUCUGGUUGGGCACUUAACCAUCAGUAAUCAGAAAAUGAACCCAAGACAACGAGAAGAGCAGAAGAAGGCUGUGUCGACAUCACAUUGUUCUCAACCCAACACAAUAGAAUAUGACCUGGCCUUGGACUGGAUGCUUGUCCGAGAAAAGCAAGCAAUGAAGUUCAGUAUACUUCAUAAGAGGCACGCGGGUGAGAGGAAGUCGUUUGCUCUAAGAUGGCGCAGUAAGUAG
This 1599-nucleotide ribosomal RNA is filed under the name Triticum aestivum (bread wheat). Its description in RNAcentral is "partial small subunit ribosomal RNA". Lineage: Eukaryota; Viridiplantae; Streptophyta; Magnoliopsida; Poales; Poaceae. The record is from RNAcentral.